RNAcentral lists this long non-coding RNA (230 nucleotides) under Elaeis guineensis (African oil palm). RNAcentral describes it as "long non-coding RNA (EGUI_LNC072673)". The record is from RNAcentral. Lineage: Eukaryota; Viridiplantae; Streptophyta; Magnoliopsida; Arecales; Arecaceae.
UAUACAAUCAAUAGAUCUAAAUCAGAACAAUCUUCUUCUUUUAUUUUUAUUUUUAUUUUUAUUUUUAUGGAUGAAGAGAAAAGAGGAAGGAAAGAAAGAUGAGAAGAGAGUUUUAAAGAUGAACCCUAAGAAGUUCUAAAUCUAGAGAUGAUAGAGAAGAAUCUUUUAAUUAGAUUUAAAUUAUUUAUUAGUAAUCAAGUUAGACAAUCAAUCCUAGCUAAAAAUUAUCC